UCGCUUCUCUCAUAUCAGGGCAUUACGUCGAUAAACAGCUAAGAGCGAUAUUGACCCUAUAAGUACCGAAAUUUAAAAACUAUAGGAGAGUAAACCCAUAUGGGCGUUCCGGCUGUAGAAGGGUUCAUCUUCUUCAUUCAUCGUCUUACCGAAAAACGCUUUUUCACCUCAUCUAACAAAAGUCGGGGCUCUGAUAUUUGUUUAUAUAAAAUUGGAGCCAAAAUUGCAGAAGGACAGAAUUGAAAGAUUAACACAAAAGGAAGAAAUUGAUAGAGCUGUAUACAACAAUAUUACUUCAACUUCGUAAUAUUAUUUGAAUGUUGGUAUUGCAAAUUGUAUAGAUAUAUAAAUGUGAUACUCUGGUUAUCUAAUUAUUUUCUUGAAGCCUGACUCGUAAAUGCACAGCUUGCGACGAUGACAGCAAUAAGACGAAGUAGAAGAGUUGGCAAUAGUUUUUACGACAUGACUAUGACCGAUAUACAAAACAAUAUACUGAAAAAUUUAUUUCACGUAAUAUUAAGAUGAAAGGCCAAAAGAAUGAAAAAAAUGUUGAGACAAAUGCAUAUGGAGAAAUUGAUUUUGGUAGAGGAAAGACAAUUAUUGCAAAGUAUGUCCGGGCAGCGCAUGAUACAGAUGAACAAGAUCUUUAUGACCUGUUAAACAAGCAUUGGAAGUUGAAUCCACCAAAUCUUAUAAUAUCAGUAACCGGUGGAGCAAAAAACUUUGCUUUGCGAACUCGCCUGAAGGAAGUGUUUCGGAAAAGUUUAAUAAAAGCGGCUGAAAACACAGGGGCAUGGAUAACUUCAGGUGGGACGCAUGUUGGAGUAAUGAAGCAUGUUGGAAAAGCUGUAAAAAGCUAUGCAACCAUUCAACAAGACAAAAAAAGGAUUCAGCCUCCAAAGGUAUAUGAUCCAGAUAUGGCCAAAUUGAACCAAAAUGAAAACAAACAAUUCACUACUCUUGAUUAUAAUCAUUCACAUUUCAUAUUGGUGGAUGAUGGCAGCACAGGAGAAAGUUCCUAUGGAACAGAAAUUAAAUUGAGGGCCAAACUGGAAAAAAAAAUUAAAAAAGAAAAUCCAAAUGUUCGGAUUGUUUGUGUUGUGGUUCAAGGUGGUCCAGGAACUUUAAAGACUGUUAAUAGCACUAUUAAAAAAGACAUUCCGGUAGUGCUUGUGAGUGGUUCAAGAGGAUGUGCUGAUGUACUAGCAUCUGCUUUGAAAAAGGGUUCAGAUAACUUGGAAGAAGGCUAUAUCGAACAAAUAUUUGAAGAAUUCAAUUAUGACAGAACUGAUUCAUGUAUUGAGCUACUCAAAGACUGCAUUAGUAAAAGGGAAUUGAUUACCGUGUUUGAGUUGGAUCCAAACGAUACAUCAAAGGACUUAGACUUUGCUAUACUAGAUGCUGUUUUACGAAAAAAAGAGAAUGACGUCAACAAAAAUUUAGACCUGGCUGUUGCUUGGAAUAGGAGUGAUUAUGCUAAAUCUCAUAUACUUUAUGAUGGUUUUAUAAAGAAAGGGAUAAUUACUGAAAUCUUCAUGGGAUCUGUCUUACUAAAUGAUAAGCAUGAAUUUUGCAAAGUUCUCCUUGAUUAUGGCGUUAAUUUGAAACAUGUUGAAAUUAAAAAGAUUGUUGACUUGUACAAAAAGGAUCUGGAAGAAUCUGGAGCUUCGGGACCACAGUCCAGAAAUUAUAUGUCGGUUAUGUCGGAUGUGGGAAAAAGAAUGGCUGGUUUAUUUGGUACCUCUUAUGCUUCUAUGUACCAGGAGGGAAAUGCAGAAUCUGCGGAAAAGUAUUUCGAUCCCUACAUGGAAAUAUUCCGGUGGGCUUUGUUGUUCAAUCACAGAGAAAUUGCUAAAUAUAUCUGGGAAUACAUGCAUGAAUCAAUGGCUGCUGCUGUUAUGGCAACCAAAAUAUUGAAAGCACUAGCUUCUACAGAGUCAAACCAUGAAGUGAAAAAUCAAAUGUUAGCUGAUGCUGACGAAUAUGAAAGACAUGCUGUAAUAAUUUUAGGAAAAUUAUUUGCUGACAAUAAAAGCAAAGCAAUUGAUUUACUCAAGACAAGCUUACCUAGAUGGGGCAGAUUGAACUGCUUACAUGUUGCCUUUGAGGCGAAAGAUAAGGCAUUUAUUUCACAUCCUGCAGUUCAGUUUUACCUUGAUCAAAUCUGGUCUAAAGGAUUAAUGAAAGAAAAUAGAAGAAACAGCGAUGCAUGUUCAACUGAGUCUGGCAAUUCACAGUCUGGUGGCAGUUCAGAUAAUUUAUGCAAACAGAUAGUUGAAUUUCGAAUUACUCCUGCAAUGACAUUUUGGUCAAAUAUUGCGUUUUAUUUGCUAUAUCUCACAUUAUUUUCCGCUGUAAUAUUGAGCAGUUAUGAUGUAACACCAUCUACACUGGAAAUAGUCGUGGUUGUGUGGGCAACAAUAAUGAUGUUUGAUGAGAUACGCGAAGUCAUAGGAAUUGGAGCGGGUAACUUUACAGGCAAAGAUCAGCAUUACUUUAAGAAUCAAUGGAAUUAUGCAGACAUACUGAGUUUUCUACUGUUUUACAUAGGAUUCAUUACAAGAUGGUUUGGAUGCAGUGAUUGUUUGUAUGUAGCACUUACUUUGUAUUGUAUCUCAUUUAUGAUACAAUGUGUACGGAUCAUCCACAUUUUUGCUGUCAACAGUACGCUUGGACCAAAAAUAAUCAUGGUUAAAAAAAUGAUAAAAGAUCUGCUGACUUUCCUGUUUAUACUUACUGUGUUUUUGUUGGCAUACGGAGUUGCCAGUCAAGCUCUUCUUUAUCCAAACGAAACAGAUGUUGCUCAGAUAAUUGUCGGAAUAAUUUACAAACCUUAUUGGCAAAUAUAUGGUGAACUGUUCUUGGAUGAAAUUAACUACAAUCCGAAUCUUGGAUCUCUAACUUGCAAUAAUACAGACAACGACCUCCCACGAUGUCCUCAUGAGUCUGUAGUCGUUCCAAUAUUAUCAGCAGUGUACCUGUUUUUUGCAAAUAUUCUUCUUCUCAAUUUGCUCAUCGCUAUGUUUAGUUACACAUUUGAUAAAGUUCAAAGUCAAGGAAAAGAAGUGUGGAUGUUUCAACGAUACAGUCUGAUUGUUGAUUAUUGUAAUCGGCCUCCAUUGCCGCCACCACUUGUCAUUUUUUGUUUUAUAUAUUAUGCAUGUCAAUAUUUGAAAUGGUAUUGUAAAAAAAAGAACAAGAAGAUGGAGCAAACGAAAAAUAUGGUGAACAACUACGUGAGUGGGAACAUUGGUUGGCUGAAAAAUACAUCCGAGAAACACGUAAAACAGCUGAUUCAACAAUAGAUAAAAAGAUUGAAAAAUUAAGUGAUAGGAUAACUCAUGAGCUUGACAUCAUUAAGUUCAAACUUCAAGAUAUGAUGCAAAACCAAAAAGAAUCGGUACGAAUAUAAAUGGAUUUACCUAAACUUCUGACUGAAUAUAUCUAACUAAAAUCAUUAGUCUUUCUCAUAUGAGUAGUACAUUACUAUCCAAAUUAAGAAGCCGAAUGAACAAAUUAGAUGUGUGACAGUAAUAUUUGACUAUCGCCACCUCACAGCAUGUUUUUGGAAAAAUAGCAAGCCUCCCUUAAUUAGUUAAUUAGUGUUGAGAGCAUGUAUUUGUACAAGUAAUGCAUUAUACCACUCCUAUGCCUCUGUUUGUCUUCCUAUUAAUAAUGUUUAAUUUUUAUUCACAUUGGUGAAGUAUAUAUAUAAAAUUAAUUUUAAAUGUAUAUAUAAAGUGAAAUGAUUGAUUUACAUUAGAUUGAUUAGGUUAGAUUGAUUCUGGGCUAAAUAAUGUAAUGUAAAAAUAAUGCAAAUCACAAUUGUCAUAAUCUAUUAUUUCUAUAUUUCUUCUAGAAACCAUUUGACGCGUGAUGCUACCAGUUGAA
This is a non-coding RNA of Styela clava, 3891 nucleotides long. The record is from RefSeq and is a predicted model, not a curated record. NCBI's taxonomy places the organism in Eukaryota, Metazoa, Chordata, Ascidiacea, Stolidobranchia, Styelidae.